Molecule: ribosomal RNA, 557 nt
Filed under: uncultured Bacillus sp.
Lineage: Bacteria; Bacillati; Bacillota; Bacilli; Caryophanales; Bacillaceae
Description: partial 16S ribosomal RNA
Rfam family: Bacterial small subunit ribosomal RNA
Source: RNAcentral
GGCGGCCGCGGGAUUCGAUUAGAGUUUGAUCAUGGCUCAGGACGAACGCUGGCGGCGUGCCUAAUACAUGCAAGUCGAGCGGACAGAAGGGAGCUUGCUCCCGGAUGUUAGCGGCGGACGGGUGAGUAACACGUGGGUAACCUGCCUGUAAGACUGGGAUAACUCCGGGAAACCGGAGCUAAUACCGGAUAGUUCCUUGAACCGCAUGGUUCAAGGAUGAAAGACGGUUUCGGCUGUCACUUACAGAUGGACCCGCGGCGCAUUAGCUAGUUGGUGGGGUAAUGGCUCACCAAGGCGACGAUGCGUAGCCGACCUGAGAGGGUGAUCGGCCACACUGGGACUGAGACACGGCCCAGACUCCUACGGGAGGCAGCAGUAGGGAAUCUUCCGCAAUGGACGAAAGUCUGACGGAGCAACGCCGCGUGAGUGAUGAAGGUUUUCGGAUCGUAAAGCUCUGUUGUUAGGGAAGAACAAGUGCGAGAGUAACUGCUCGCGCCUUGACGGUACCUAACCAGAAAGCCACGGCUAACUACGUGCCAGCAGCCGCGGUAAUACGU